Long non-coding RNA from Passer domesticus (house sparrow), 770 nucleotides. RefSeq lists it as uncharacterized. Lineage: Eukaryota; Metazoa; Chordata; Aves; Passeriformes; Passeridae. The transcript has 3 exons. The record is from RefSeq and is a predicted model, not a curated record.
UUGUGACCUCAUGGCCAGGGUGGAGAUGUUUGGAGAACUGAAUCUGCCUUCUUUGGAAGGGAGCUCAUCCUGUCCAGCUGCUCUGCCCAAGGGCUGUGACACAGUCCCAGCCCAGCUGAUCUCACAAGCUGGGACAUGAAGGGAUGGAGAGCAGCUCUGCCAAGAAGGAUUGGGGGUACUGCUAGAAGAGAGCCUGGACAUGAGCCAGCCAUGUGCAUUGAAGGGAGAGUGCCCAGCAAAUUGAAGGCAGUGAUUCCCCAACUCUGCUCAGCUGAACCUGCUGGUGAAGGUGGUGCAGCUUCCCAAGCCACAUCCAGGACUGAGGCUGUGGGAGAUGCUGAGGGUAGGUCAAGGCCUUUCCCCUGGGAGAGCUGCCAGCUCAGAGCCCAAAGCUGGGCCAGGGGGGCAUCGCUGCAGGUGCCAGCACAGAACCAUGCACGUGUGUGCCCUCGCCCUGUGUGAUUCCCUCACCUCUCCUGCGGCUCAGUGGUGCCCGUGCAGAUCAGCAGAGAUGGCAGAAGCUUCUGUGGCUGUUGAGUUACAGGUGUGUCUGCAGGGAGGACUUGUCCAGCUCCUUUGCUGAUUCCUACACAGAAGCCUGCCUCCCAUGGCAGGGGUCCUCCAAAAGGGAAGGACCAAGCUACAGGACACCAGAAACCCCAUGAUCCAUCCGAAAACAUGAGGCAAAUGCUGAAGGAAAUGCAGCAGGCAGGAGAAGGUGGGUGCAUUUCUCUCAUGCUUCCCUUGGGUCUCAGCAUCUGGGGGCUUUG